RNAcentral lists this ribosomal RNA (213 nucleotides) under uncultured beta proteobacterium. RNAcentral's name for it is "partial 16S ribosomal RNA". It matches the Rfam family "Bacterial small subunit ribosomal RNA", at positions 53 to 268 of the family's 1533-position model. Lineage: Bacteria; Pseudomonadati; Pseudomonadota; Betaproteobacteria. The record is from RNAcentral.
UAACAUGCAAGUCGAGCGGCAGCGCGGGGCAAGCUGGCGGCGAGCGGCGAACGGGUGAGUAAUGCAUCGGAACAUGUCCAUUGAUGGGGGAUAGCCCGGCGAAAGCCGGAUUAAUACCGCAUGAGCCCGACAGGGGAAAGUGGGGGACCGCAAGGCCUCACGUCGAUGGGUUGGCCGAUGUCCGAUUACCUAGUUGGUGGGGUAAAGGCUCAC